AUUGAACGCUGGCGGCAUGCCUUACACAUGCAAGUCGAACGGCAGCACGGGAGCAAUCCUGGUGGCGAGUGGCGAACUGGUGAGUAAUACAUCGGAACGUGCCCAAUCGUGGGGGAUAACGCAGCGAAAGCUGUGCUAAUACCGCAUACGAUCUACGGAUGAAAGCAGGGGAUCGCAAGACCUUGCGCGAAUGGAGCGGCCGAUGGCAGAUUAGGUAGUUGGUGAGGUAAAGGCUCACCAAGCCGUCGAUCUGUAGCUGGUCUGAGAGGACGACCAGCCACACUGGGACUGAGACACGGCCCAGACUCCUACGGGAGGCAGCAGUGGGGAAUUUUGGACAAUGGGCGAAAGCCUGAUCCAGCCAUGCCGCGUGCAGGAUGAAGGCCUUCGGGUUGUAAACUGCUUUUGUACGGAACGAAACGGCCUUUUCUAAUAAAGAGGGCUAAUGACGGUACCGUAAGAAUAAGCACCGGCUAACUACGUGCCAGCAGCCGCGGUAAUACGUAGGGUGCAAGCGUUAAUCGGAAUUACUGGGCGUAAAGCGUGCGCAGGCGGUUAUGUAAGACAGUUGUGAAAUCCCCGGGCUCAACCUGGGAACUGCAUCUGUGACUGCAUAGCUAGAGUACGGUAGAGGGGGAUGGAAUUCCGCGUGUAGCAGUGAAAUGCGUAGAUAUGCGGAGGAACACUGAUGGCGAAGGCAAUCCCCUGGACCUGUACUGACGCUCAUGCACGAAAGCGUGGGGAGCAAACAGG
RNAcentral lists this ribosomal RNA (753 nucleotides) under uncultured Comamonadaceae bacterium. RNAcentral's name for it is "bacterial SSU rRNA". It matches the Rfam family "Bacterial small subunit ribosomal RNA", at positions 28 to 776 of the family's 1533-position model. Lineage: Bacteria; Pseudomonadati; Pseudomonadota; Betaproteobacteria; Burkholderiales; Comamonadaceae. The record is from RNAcentral.